RNAcentral lists this unclassified non-coding RNA (300 nucleotides) under uncultured fungus. RNAcentral describes it as "sequence contains 5.8S rRNA gene, ITS2". The stretch from base 1 to 72 matches the Rfam family "5.8S ribosomal RNA", at positions 84 to 154 of the family's 154-position model. The record is from RNAcentral. Lineage: Eukaryota; Fungi.
GUGAGUCAUCGAAUCUUUGAACGCAAAUUGCACUGUCGGGAUAUCCCUGGCAGUACGUUUCUUUCAGUGUCGAAUUAACCACACCUCGACGGCGUUCUUACGAACGUGCAGUCGGAUAUUGAGUGUCAGCAUUUAUUUGUGCUGUCGCUUCAAAUGGAGUCGGAUCGCAACCAGUACGCAUUAUACGGGUUUGCACCGAGUUCUUAAACGUGCGCCUCUAGAGUACUAGCUCUGAGUCGGCAAACGUGGAUAAUGUGUGAGGCACUCUUCGCGGAGUGUUUUACCAACUUCUCAUGUUAU